CUGGGGGUUCACGUGACCAGCUCCGACCAGGGUCUUUGCUUCCCAAGAGCAAAGAACCUGGGAACGAGGUUGAUUGGAACACACAAUUGUAUACAAUAAUGCUCACAAUUUCUUUCUUCUUAUUGUAACAUGGCAGUGUUAUACCAUGUUAUUUAAUAUAUUCAAUACUAUAUUCAAUACUAUAUAUUCAGCAUACUGUUAUAAUUAUAAGAGGAAGACCUUAGGCAACCUUCCUCGCAUGAAUAAGCAAAUAUUUAGAGAGAUUAAAGAACCACGGGAAACGCCUAGUACCACAAACCACGCAAACAGGACAUAGUUUUGUGGUUGAUAAACACUGCUAGAACUUGCUUUAACAAACAUAUUGCGUAGAGGAAAUUAGUCAUAGUUACAGAUUUCUUCCUCUAAAAUUUAUUAUAAAAGCUGAGCACAACCUGAGAGUCGAGAGCGGAGAGUGAAGUGAGAAGAGCCAUUUAGGCUAAAAUACUUCAUAAGCCAACAAAGGCUGAGGUAUAUAAUUAAAAGGCUAGAUAAUUAAGCCUCGUCAAGUAAACUGAAGAACAUUGGAAUAUUGUGGAAUAAUUAUUAUUAAAGAAGACGGAAUACAAAGUAUAAAGAAUAAAGAUUCAAAGUUGUGCUCAGCUGAAACAAAUAGAGAGAUAAGUUGAUAUAUUAAGAUUACUAUAUUAUUAUAACAUUAUAGAGACGCUAUUUCAUAUUGUUGAAAGUAAAUAAAAUAUAUAAAAGGUAUAAGGUUUCAUGCUAUUUGUGUUACGGUAGCGUUAAUAUAAUUUGAACCCGAAGCCUAAAGGUUGAAAAUAUACCUAAUUGGAAAAUAUAUUUGACGCAUAAAUAACGCACCAUAACAGUUGGGGGCUCAGGCGGGAAAGAGUAAAACCAGUCUAAACAGUUGCAUGCUCCAAAAGAAAAUUAGCAUUUCAAGUUAAAACAAAUAAAAAUUGGAAAGUCAUUUCAUUGAUAAGAUAUUAAUUAAGCGGAAUUUGAGGAAUACAUUCUGCAUGCGUCAUAGUGUUAAGUGUGAAACCUGAUACCUUAAUUGAUCUUAAUUAAAUAAGCAUGUCAGAAUUUAACCCCGGCGAAUUUAUGGUGGAACCAACCAUAGAAAAUUUUAAUAGCCUGCGUAAAGAUAACCUAGUUACGCUAGCCAAGCAUUUAGGGCUAGAAAUAAGAAGUGCCUUCAGAAAACGCGAAGUAUACGAUUUAAUCAAGGAACAUUUUGUUAAAGAAAAAACAUUCGAACAGUCUGUUUUCAUGGAACAAAGUAUAAAUACAGUAGAAAAUACACAGAUUAGUGAAGAUAGUGAAAUAAGCGAGAAAGACAGACAGUGGCAGAGAGAGCAUGAGAAAGUUUUGUGGGAAAGAGAACGAGAGAAACGCGAGUG
Paramuricea clavata is the source of this 1400-nucleotide non-coding RNA. NCBI's taxonomy places the organism in Eukaryota, Metazoa, Cnidaria, Anthozoa, Malacalcyonacea, Plexauridae. The record is from the annotation of a GenBank genome assembly.